GAAGGGACAUAACUAUGGAUCUGUGAAGAGAUAUUGGAGGGGAGUUGUUCAGUGCUUUAUAGGUGUGAAUUAGUACCUUGAUUUGACUCCUAUAGCAUACAGGAAGCCAAUGUAAGGCCUGACAGAGGGGUGAGGUGUGAGAGAACCGACUAGAGAGUAAAAUCAGUCUGGCGGCAGCGUUCAUUAUGGACUGUAGCGGUGCAGUACGGC
RNAcentral lists this long non-coding RNA (210 nucleotides) under Pelobates cultripes (western spadefoot toad). Lineage: Eukaryota; Metazoa; Chordata; Amphibia; Anura; Pelobatidae. The record is from RNAcentral.